AAUCGUAAUUUGUUUUCGUGUUCCUGAGUAGUUAAAAAUUUGCGUAAUUAUUUCAGCAUUUUUCAAAUGUAAUUACAUUUCUGCAUUGCCAAAUUGUUUCGAUAUUAGGUAACUUUACUACCCAUUUAUUGUGACAAAUCAGACACACCUUAUAUAUUCGAAGAACUUUGGUGCUCGUCUUGCUGGACGGUUGACAGCUUGAACUGACGUUUCAUUGUGUUUGAAAUUUUCACGCUUCAAACAAGUCGCUCUGUUUCUGCUGCUACUUUUUCAUUUAUAAUCAGCUAAUUUGCCAAUAAACGCAGAAAAUUUGGUGAAAAUGUGAAAAAAAGCUUGCUGCUCUUCCCGCUGGCCCUGCGGAAGGCUAAUUUGGCUGAGAUUUUACAAGUUAGCCAUCUCCUAGUGGACUGAAUCAACUGGAACCGGCCCUCAAUGUUCUCCGCCGUGAAAUCAUUUUUGGUACGUUCGUUUGAUGGCUAGUUCCACACUGAGUGCCGCACUCAGAGCUGUCAAAGUGUUUCUUUGAAGAAACUCGCGCUAGUUCCGCACGAGUUUCGCCGCCAUCUUGGAAGUGAAACUCUAGUGCCGCACUCGAUAUUUUUUCAGUUUCAUGCGAGUUCCAAGCACACUGACAGAUGACGUUCGAUUGAACCAAAACUGGCACCGACGAGUGCGGCACUCAGUGCUACACUGGCUGUUCAAACGAACGUACCAUUUGUUUCUUCGAAACAGGUUCAUCAAUCAACUCGGGAGUGCGAGAGCUCGAGCCUCGUUGCCGAGCCAUGGAUGGCGCCGCGAAAGUUCUCAAUUCUUGAAUGUUCCGCCCUGAAGGAUGCCCAACACAAGAAAAGAACAUAAUUUGGAAAUAAAUAAUGCUGUGUGGAAACGCG
This is a long non-coding RNA of Culex pipiens pallens (northern house mosquito), 890 nucleotides long. RefSeq lists it as uncharacterized. The record is from RefSeq and is a predicted model, not a curated record. Lineage: Eukaryota; Metazoa; Arthropoda; Insecta; Diptera; Culicidae. The transcript is spliced from 2 exons.